UACGUAGGGCGCAAGCGGUGUCCGGAAUUAUUGGGCGUAAAGAGCUCGUAGGCGGCUUGUCACGUCGGGUUUGAAAGCCCGGGGCUUAACCCCGGGUCUGCAUUCGAUACGGGCUGGCUAGAGUGUGGUAGGGGAGAUCGGAAUUCCUGGUGUAGCGGUGAAAUGCGCAGAUAUCAGGAGGAACACCGGUGGCGAAGGCGGAUCUCUGGGCCAUUACUGACGCUGAGGAGCGAAAGCGUGGGGAGCGAACAGG
This 253-nucleotide ribosomal RNA is filed under the name uncultured bacterium. RNAcentral describes it as "partial 16S ribosomal RNA". It matches the Rfam family "Bacterial small subunit ribosomal RNA", at positions 524 to 776 of the family's 1533-position model. The record is from RNAcentral.